RNAcentral lists this ribosomal RNA (497 nucleotides) under uncultured bacterium. RNAcentral's name for it is "partial 16S ribosomal RNA". It matches the Rfam family "Bacterial small subunit ribosomal RNA", at positions 28 to 507 of the family's 1533-position model. The record is from RNAcentral.
GAUGAACGCUGGCGGCGUGCCUAAUACAUGCCAGUCGAGCGAACAGACGAGGAGCUUGCUCCUCUGACGUUAGCGGCGGACGGGUGAGUAACACGUGGAUAACCUACCUAUAAGACUGGGAUAACUUCGGGAAACCGGAGCUAAUACCGGAUAAUAUAUUGAACCGCAUGGUUCAAUAGUGAAAGACGGUUUUGCUGUCACUUAUAGAUGGAUCCGCGCCGCAUUAGCUAGUUGGUAAGGUAACGGCUUACCAAGGCAACGAUGCGUAGCCGACCUGAGAGGUUGAUCGGCCACACUGGAACUGAGACACGGUCCAGACUCCUACGGGAGGCAGCAGUAGGGAAUCUUCCGCAAUGGGCGAAAGCCUGACGGAGCAACGCCGCGUGAGUGAUGAAGGUCUUCGGAUCGUAAAACUCUGUUAUUAGGGAAGAACAAAUGUGUAAGUAACUAUGCACGUCUUGACGGUACCUAAUCAGAAAGCCACGGCUAACUACGUG